GCAGCCGCCGCGGUAACACGAAGGGUGCAAGCGUUAAUCGGAAUUACUGGGCGUAAAGCGUGCGUAGGCGGUUUGUUAAGUCUGUUGUGAAAUCCCCGGGCUCAACCUGGGUAUGGCAAUGGAUACUGGCAAGCUGGAGUGUGUCAGAGGAUGGUGGAAUUCCCGGUGUAGCGGUGAAAUGCGUAGAGAUCGGGAGGAACAUCAAUGGCGAAGGCGGCCAUCUGGGACAACACUGACGCUGAGGCACGAAAGCGUGGGGAGCAAACAGGAUUAGAUACCCCUGUAGUCCCUGUCUCUUAUAC
Molecule: ribosomal RNA, 302 nt
Filed under: uncultured bacterium
Lineage: Bacteria
Description: partial 16S ribosomal RNA
Rfam family: Bacterial small subunit ribosomal RNA
Source: RNAcentral